RNAcentral lists this ribosomal RNA (1695 nucleotides) under Triticum aestivum (bread wheat). RNAcentral describes it as "partial small subunit ribosomal RNA". Lineage: Eukaryota; Viridiplantae; Streptophyta; Magnoliopsida; Poales; Poaceae. The record is from RNAcentral.
AUGGCGUCGACGACGGCCUACUCGCGGCCGUCCAAGCUGCCAGGCGCGGGCCCGGGGGAGCGGAGGCCGGCGCCGCCGCGGCUCAUCCGGGCCUUCUUCGCCUCCGGCGCCAAGAUCGAGCCCAGGAAGCUCGCCGCCGGCCUGCUCGCCGGCUGCUGCCUCGCGCUCCUCACCUACGUCUCCCUCGCCAAGCUCUACGCCGUCUACUCCCCCGUCUUCGCCACCACCUCGGCCCUGCUCCAGAACGCCCCGCCGUCGUCCUCGUCGGCGCCGGGGGCGGUGGCCGCCCCGCGCCCGCCCGAAGAACUCGCAUUUACUGGCGGCAACAACGGCGGCGGCGUGGAUCGUGUAGAUUUGACGAAGAAGGGCCCGGCGACGGCCGGCUCUCGACAGCCCGGGGUGCCGGACGCGGUCUCCAGAAAGGAACACGCCGAGAAAGCGCCGGCGCCGGCGAACACCUCGGCACCAAUGCCAUCUCAGGGAGAAAGGAAGAGCAACAGCAGCAGCAAUGCCGCCGCCGGUCCGAUGAGCUGCGACGAAAAUGGCGUGGACGAGGGGUUCCCCUAUGCGCGGCCGGCGGUCUGCGAGCUGUCUGGCGACAUCCGCGUCAGCCCCAGCCAGAAGACAAUGUACCUCGUCAACCCGUCCGGCGGCGGCGGCUUCGACGAGAAGGGCGAGAAGCGGCUCCGGCCCUACGCCCGGAACGACGACUUCCUCCUGCCCGCCGUGGUGGAGGUGACUGUCAAGUCUGUCGCCUCCCAUGAGGCCGCGCCACAGUGCACGAAGCAGCAUCGCGUGCCCGCGGUGGUGUUCUCCGUCGCCGGGUACACGGACAACUUCUUCCACGACAACACGGACGUGCUGAUCCCCUUGUUCCUCACCACGGCGCACCUGAAAGGCGAGGUGCAGCUGCUGAUCACCAACUACAAGCCGUGGUGGGUGCAAAAGUACACGCCGGUGCUACGCAGGCUCUCCAGCUAUGACGUGAUCAACUUCGACGAUGACGCCGACGUGCACUGCUUCUCCCGCGGGUACCUCGGCCUGUACCGCGACCGCGACCUCAUCAUCGCCCCUCACCCGACCCGCAACCCGCGCAACUACACCAUGCUGGACUACACUCGCUUCCUCCGAGCCGCGUACGGGCUCCGCCGCGACCAGCCGGCGGUGCUCGGCGCGGAGCCCGGGAUGCAGCCCCGGAUGCUGAUCAUCUCGCGCGGCGGCACGCGCAAGCUGCUGAACCAGGACGAGGUGGCCGCCGCCGCCUCGGAGCUCGGGUUCAACGUGACCGUGGCCGAGGCCGGCGACGACGUGCCGGCGUUCGCGGCCCUGGUGAACUCCGCCGACGUGCUUCUGGCCGUGCACGGCGCCGGGCUGACCAACCAGAUCUUCCUGCCGACGAACGGGGUGGUGCUGCAGAUCGUGCCGUGGGGGAACAUGGACUGGAUGGCGACCAACUUCUACGGGCAGCCGGCGCGGGACAUGCAGCUCCGGUACGUGGAGUACUACAUCGACGAGGAGGAGACGAGCCUCAAGGACAAGUACCCAAGGGAUCACAUGGUGUUCAAGGACCCCAAGGCCCUCCACAAGCAGGGGUGGCAGGCGCUCGCCGACACCAUUAUGAAGCAGGACGUCAAGGUGAACAUCACCAGGUUCCAGCCUUUCUUGCUCCAGGCCAUGGACGAGCUACAGGAGUAG